This 1649-nucleotide long non-coding RNA is filed under the name Homo sapiens (human). Its description in RNAcentral is "HSALNT0212617". Lineage: Eukaryota; Metazoa; Chordata; Mammalia; Primates; Hominidae. The record is from RNAcentral.
AAAUCACUAAUUGUUUGUGUAGCAGGGAAAAAACAUCUGCCUACAGCCUAUAUUUUAAAAUUUAAAAUUUUAUUUUUUUACCUUUUUUUUACAUUUUUAUUUUAAAAUAAACAGUGUUUCCAAAAAACAUUGACUACAAGGGGGAAAUGAGGCAAUAAGGUUGGAAGAAGGGAAGGACUCAAGAAGAAAUGCUGAACCUGCAAACACAAUGAUCAGGGAGCAUGCAGAGAGGCCCUUGCUGUGACACUGUCCUCUCACUGCUACUCCUAUGAAGCCCAGUGACUAUGCUGGGACACUGGAGCUAAAGGGUCAAAGAGAAGCAUUUCAUUCCUAAAAGGUGAUGUCAAUUUGUACUUAGCCCCAGCAAUGUGAAUCCCCCUCUUCACAGUCCAAUUCUAAGAUUCCAUUCUUAAGAAAUUACCAAAGAUAGAGCCAAAGAGAUAUAUACAAGAAACUUUAUCACAUCAUCAUUGAUAAUAAAAGUAUCUGAAACAACCAAAAUUUUCAACAGUGUGGGGAUGGAUAAGGUAGAACCACUAGAAAUCUAUUUUCAAAGAUUUAAAAACAUAGGAAGUUACUCGUGAUACCAUGUUAAUCAGUGAGAGGGUAAAGUUAGGAUACCAACCUGUAUCUAUGUAUGACCUUCAAUUUUGUGUAAAUAUACACCUUAUAUGCACUUUUUAAUACUGAAAGGAAAUUCAUAAACAUAUCAGCAAAGUUUAGCUCUGUUUUAGAUGGAGAGAAGAUGGCUAAUUUUUAUUCUUUGUUUAGAUUCUUCUGUAAUGAGCAUUGUUACUUUUAUAUCAGAAAAAUAGACAUUUGCCAUAAAAUAAGUCUACCCUCAAAUCUCUGAUUUAAGACGACAAUUGUCAGUCUUAGGAAAAGCCUGCUAAAGUUCAAAGCAGACUCAAAGAAAAAAGAUUCAAAUCUACACAGUGACUCUCUCCUGAAAAGGAUGAGAAAUCUUGUGUGACGCAGUCUGGCUUUUUCCUCUACUUUGCUGCUGGCUCUAUUUUACUGCGCCUCACAGAAAGCUCCAUGGGAAAACCCUUUCCCUAGCACCUUAAAUGACCUUAAGUGUUUCUCACCUCUUGGCAUGAGGAUUAGAAGGAAAGAAAAUGAAACAGCCCUACUCCCUUGUUUCAAAGGAAAAAUUUUUCUUGCAAAGCUAUCAAAAUGACUUAAAAUCAGCUAUGCAAAAUUUGAAACAUAAGUCAUGAGUUACGUUCAGUAACCAGUUGCUUUUUUCUCAAGAAUGAAUAUAAAAACAAAUCUAUGAGUGCCCUCUUGUGGCAAGCCUGACUAUUACCACAACCCAAAAAUGCCUGCCUGAAGACAAGUGGGAAUGAAGGGUCAGAAGAGCAAGAUGCAGGAUGUGCACGUGGGUUCAUGGGCUGCUACUGAUGGCCGAUGGUGACUGUGUCUGGUAUAUCCAUGCACACAUACCAUGGCACUGCCAGGAGGCAGGGACCUGUAGGAUAAAUAGCCCCUCCCCUAGGAAUGCCAGUUUUAUAAAGUCGCGAAGUUUUACAUUUACAUCCAGUGAGCCUUGUGCUUACAAGUAGUUUUAUUAUUAAUUUUAGAGUAAACAUCACCAACUUGGGCACAAUUCCAAAAUAGAGCUCUUGUUGGAUUCUGGUCAUAAAAUU